Molecule: long non-coding RNA, 637 nt
Filed under: Papio anubis (olive baboon)
Lineage: Eukaryota; Metazoa; Chordata; Mammalia; Primates; Cercopithecidae
Description: lncRNA (ENSPANG00000041184.1)
Source: RNAcentral
GAUGUGGUGGCUCACACCUGUAAUCCCAACACUUUGGGAGGCCAAGGAACUUGGGAGCAUUUUAGUUGUUUUUUAGAUCCAGCUGCUGAGAUCAGGCUGCACCAUGCAUCAGUUGUAAAGAUCCUGGAGGAAAGAAGACUCCCUUUCUGCAGACCUGCAGCCGAAGUGUUCUCUAAGUAGAAACCAACCACUUAGAAUUAAGUCAACAUAAAGGAGAGAAAUACCUGGAGAGGAAGGAGUCAGCUGUGAAGACACCAUUUGAGCGUCUUGAUCCAGUUAUGUCUGAAGACUCUAUCGCCAAACUUUUUAUUAACAUAAGAGAAUAAAUAGUACUUUCUUGUUUCAAAAAAAAAAAAAAAAAAGUUUGCUAUUUUUUUCUUAAGGCAGUUUGAAUUGGUUUCAUCAGUUACAAAAAAAGUUUCUCAUUAAUAUGACUAUGAUAUGAAAAGUGCCAUAAUAGUCAUAUGAACAAAAGAUCUUGGCAUCCAGGGUGGGGAGACUAAGGAGUGCCAUUCGAAUUGAGCUUUGAAGGAUAUAUAGAAUUUCGCCAGUGGAGUAAGGUAGGGAAAGCCACUUCAGAGAAGAAGAACAGCAUGUACAAAAAGAAUCAACAUUUCAGGGAGUAUGAAAAAUUUGG